GAAAUAUCUUCCCACAUCUUUCAAUCUUGGCCGUUGCAGCAUUUCCCAUGGAAAGCGUCUCGUCGGGUCCAGCAGAAGCAUAUGUAAAAAAUGCUUCUCUCACAGCACAAACAUGGCGGGUGGCUCCAAAAUCAAUCAACCAUUCCUUAGGAUUGCCGACCAAGUUGCAUUCAAAAAGCAUGACACACAAGUCAUCAACAUCAUCA
Molecule: long non-coding RNA, 206 nt
Filed under: Nicotiana benthamiana
Lineage: Eukaryota; Viridiplantae; Streptophyta; Magnoliopsida; Solanales; Solanaceae
Description: long non-coding RNA (NBEN_LNC017664)
Source: RNAcentral